Molecule: non-coding RNA, 267 nt
Organism: Pelobates cultripes (western spadefoot toad)
Lineage: Eukaryota; Metazoa; Chordata; Amphibia; Anura; Pelobatidae
Source: the annotation of a GenBank genome assembly
GGGCGCUGGAACACCUAAGGCCAGCCCUGGCCAGAGUGGUAAGUGGUCUGUUGGUUCGAGCUCAUCGGUGGCUCCGAACCUGGUGGUGUAGGGGUGUCUUGGUACACCCCUACAGUUAAGAAAGUUAUGGUUAUGGGGCCUCUUUGGUAGGCCAUGUGUUAUAUAUUAUGUGUUAUUUAUAUUGUUAUAUAUUGUUUAAGGUAUGGUGUCAUUGCCAGGGGUAAUUCUGUACGGAAGGGGAUGGUAGUAAAUAUGCGGCAAUGACCC